GAGCCUAGAGUGAUCAUGGGAAUGUUUCUGUGGGCUCUCCUCCUCCCUUGCUGCCUGCUUAGUACCAGUCUUGCUCAGCUUGGAGGCUCCAGUUCCCAAACGGGCAGUGGAAGUGGAGGUCUCCUUCUCAAGCCUGGCCAGGUGCUUGGCAGUGAUGGCGUGGUUAGCCCCAGCUUUCUCAGUGGGAGCGACCGGCAGGCUGGAGCCAUCAGGAGUCCUUCCAGUAGCAGAGGAGCCAUCCACUCCAGACCAAAGCUUCCCUGAGUAUGACCAGAAGCUCGUGUAUCUGAAGGACACUGACACUGAAGACGUCGCGGAAUACAGUGCCCAGUCUAAGAAAUUCAGUAUGCAGCCAGACUGGCCCCAGAACCCCAGCCUGCUGACCACACCCCCAGUGAGAAUGGCUGUGCCUAUUCCAGUUCCACCCGUGAGGAUGCUCGAGACAAAUCAGGCCACCACACAUAACCCUGCUCAAGGUGAAACGAGUGGCCGAGACCCUGCUGACAGAAGUCCUGUGAUCAGCCAAGGAUCCUUGGGCCAUGAAGAAGGGAAUCCCUCCAGACUGAUUGAGAGGAUGUCCAGUCCUUUGGCUUGUUUAGGAACCUCCACUCUCCUUUCUCCAGGCUGCCCACAUCAUCUGAGCCGUAUUACUGCCUGGACUUUCAGCACAUCUCUGUGA
Long non-coding RNA from Capra hircus (goat), 679 nucleotides. The record is from Ensembl. NCBI's taxonomy places the organism in Eukaryota, Metazoa, Chordata, Mammalia, Artiodactyla, Bovidae.